AUGGAGAAUUUCAGAUGCUCUUCUGUUCAAGUUUAUGCUUAUAGAUUCUGCGAUGCAGAAAACUAUCUGACACAAAAAAACAAAAAAACUGUAAUGCGUGCUUCAGAUAGGCAGAUAAAAUCAACACACAGACUUCAGGGUUGGUUACCAAGUCUGUGUGGCAAACAAGUCUGUAUGUAUGAAGUAACUUGGAACUCAAAGUACUUCAUAUCAGCUGCACUUCUCCUUUUUCUUGUUUGCUUAGGUGUUUGGAAUCUCGAUUCAUCGAUUUGGAUGGCAGUAACCCUCAAAGCUCGUCUCUCAGUCCUUACUAGGAAAUUCCAGUUUGGUUUCCUUAUGAUCUUUUACUCCUCUGAAUUUUCUCUUUUGCUUGUUGGUUCCCAAGUUCCUCUUCCACCGUUGCUCUGA
RNAcentral lists this ribosomal RNA (408 nucleotides) under Triticum aestivum (bread wheat). RNAcentral's name for it is "partial small subunit ribosomal RNA". Lineage: Eukaryota; Viridiplantae; Streptophyta; Magnoliopsida; Poales; Poaceae. The record is from RNAcentral.